GUGGGGAAUAUUGGGCAAUGGGGGAAACCCUGACCCAGCGACGCCGCGUGAGGGAAGACGGCCUUCGGGUUGUAAACCUCUUUUGUACGGGAAGAAGGAAGUGACGGUACUGUACGAAUAAGUCCCGGCUAACUACGUGCCAGCAGCCGCGGUAAUACGUAGGGGACGAGCGUUGUCCGGAAUUACUGGGCGUAAAGGGCGCGCAGGCUGUGCUGCAAGUCAGCUGUGAAAUGUCUGGGCUUAACCCGGGCAUGCGGUUGAGACUGCAGUGCUGGAGUGCUGUAGAGGCAAGUGGAAUUCCCAGUGUAGCGGUGAAAUGCGUAGAUAUUGGGAAGAACACCGGUGGCGAAGGCGACUUGCUGGGCAGCAACUGACGCUGAGGCGCGAAAGCCAGGGGAGCAAACGGGAUUAGAAACCCCAGUAGUCC
RNAcentral lists this ribosomal RNA (427 nucleotides) under uncultured bacterium. RNAcentral describes it as "partial 16S ribosomal RNA". It matches the Rfam family "Bacterial small subunit ribosomal RNA", at positions 354 to 796 of the family's 1533-position model. The record is from RNAcentral.